Molecule: small nuclear RNA, 122 nt
Organism: Dermacentor silvarum
Lineage: Eukaryota; Metazoa; Arthropoda; Arachnida; Ixodida; Ixodidae
Product: U5 spliceosomal RNA
Exons: 1
Source: RefSeq, a predicted model, not a curated record
CCGCUCAGGCCGCUCCUUAUAUAGAUGCACUAAUCUUUCGUCUUCUCCUAAAGAUUAUCGUGGGGAGGGGCUUGCAAAUGAGCCUAUAGGCCAACUUUACAACGAAACUGUAUACCUCUCGU